AUCGUACCCCAAACCGACACAGGUGGUCAGGUAGAGAAUACCAAGGCGCUUGAGAGAACUCGGGUGAAGGAACUAGGCAAAAUGGUGCCGUAACUUCGGGAGAAGGCACGCUGAUACGUAGGUGAAGUCCCUUGCGGAUGGAGCUGAAAUCAGUCGAAGAUACCAGCUGGCUGCAACUGUUUAUUAAAAACACAGCACUGUGCAAACACGAAAGUGGACGUAUACGGUGUGACGCCUGCCCGGUGCCGGAAGGUUAAUUG
RNAcentral lists this ribosomal RNA (260 nucleotides) under Escherichia coli. RNAcentral's name for it is "partial 23S ribosomal RNA". It matches the Rfam family "Bacterial large subunit ribosomal RNA", at positions 1641 to 1883 of the family's 2925-position model. Lineage: Bacteria; Pseudomonadati; Pseudomonadota; Gammaproteobacteria; Enterobacterales; Enterobacteriaceae. The record is from RNAcentral.